This 374-nucleotide ribosomal RNA is filed under the name uncultured bacterium. Its description in RNAcentral is "bacterial SSU rRNA". It matches the Rfam family "Bacterial small subunit ribosomal RNA", at positions 524 to 898 of the family's 1533-position model. The record is from RNAcentral.
UACGGAGGGUGCAAGCGUUAUCCGGAAUCACUGGGUUUAAAGGGUGCGUAGGCGGCAUUAUAAGUCAGGAGUGAAAUUCCACAGCUUAACUGUAGGGACUGCUUUUGAUACUGUAGUGCUAGAACCGAGAUGAGGUAGGCGGAAUGUGACAUGUAGCGGCGAAAUGCAUAGAUAUGUCAUAGAACACCAAUUGCGAAGGCAGCUUACUAGACUUAGGUUGACGCUGAGGCACGAAAGCGUGGGGAGCAAACAGGGUUAGAUACCCUGGUAGUCCACGCCCUAAACGAUGCUAACUCGACGUUUGGGAUUAAUUUUUGAGCGUCCAAGCGAAAGCGAUAAGUUAGCCACCUGGGGAGUACGUUCGCAAGAAUGAA